This 896-nucleotide ribosomal RNA is filed under the name Stephanoprora sp. 1 SB-2020. Its description in RNAcentral is "partial large subunit ribosomal RNA". It matches the Rfam family "Eukaryotic large subunit ribosomal RNA", at positions 34 to 614 of the family's 3401-position model. Lineage: Eukaryota; Metazoa; Platyhelminthes; Trematoda; Plagiorchiida; Echinochasmidae. The record is from RNAcentral.
UUAAGCAUAUCAUUAAGCGGAGGAAAAGAAACUAACCAGGAUUCCCUUAGUAACGGCGAGUGAACAGGGAAAAGCCCAGCACCGAAGCCUGUGGCCGUUUGGUCUCUAGGCAAUGUGGUGUUCAGGUCAGCUCGCAGAGAUACUGCUCCACCCUAAGUCCUGUAAUGAGUAAGGUUACUGGAGCGGCCCACAGAGGGUGAAAGGCCCGUGGGGGUGGAGAUGCAGAUGAGUCAGUGUCUCUAUGAGUGGACCUUGGAGUCGGGUUGUUUGUGAAUGCAGCCCAAAGUGGGUGGUAAACUCCAUCCAAGGCUAAAUACUGGCACGAGUCCGAUAGCGAACAAGUACCGUGAGGGAAAGUUGAAAAGUACUUUGAAGAGAGAGUAAACAGUGCGUGAAACCGCUCAAAGGUAAACGGGUGGAGUUGAACUGCAAGCUCCGGGAAUUCAACUGGUGAGUGUGAUGUGAGCUUGGCACAUAGUUGUACAUCUGGGUCUGCUUAGCUGCAGGUCUCCGCCUCUGGUGGGGAUGCGCGAAUCACUUAUCAUGUGUUGUGCGCCCGGGCUGUGUCGAACUGGCUCGCCAGUGCACUUUCUCGGAGUAGUCACCACGACCGGCGUUGCUGCCUUGCUGUUGCGGUUAAACCGGCCUUGUAGGGUCCCUGUGGCCUUGCUUGGUCGGGAUGGCAGGUAGCCCGUUGUGUACUUUUGUGCGCCUCGGGUGUAAUAGCUGACUGCAUCGGUUUUGUGCGGUACGUCGGAGACGGCGGCUUGUUGUGCGUGCGUGCGUACCUUGUGCGCUGGCGGCGCUGGGUCCGGUUGCCAUGUUGCUUGUGAAUGCAGGCCUGGUGAUGGCUCGGUGUUGUUCGGUGUGCGGAUGCGUGUGUGGCACUUAAAGGG